CCUACGGGAGGCAGCAGUGGGGAAUAUUGGACAAUGGGGGGAACCCUGAUCCAGCCAUGCCGCGUGUGUGAAGAAGGCCCUCGGGUUGUAAAGCACUUUCAGUGAGGAAGAACGCCUGGUGGUUAAUACCCAUCAGGAAAGACAUCACUCACAGAAGAAGCACCGGCUAACUCCGUGCCAGCAGCCGCGGUAAUACGGAGGGUGCGAGCGUUAAUCGGAAUUACUGGGCGUAAAGCGCGCGUAGGUGGCUUGAUAAGCCGGUUGUGAAAGCCCCGGGCUCAACCUGGGAACGGCAUCCGGAACUGUCAAGCUAGAGUGCAGGAGAGGAAGGUAGAAUUCCCGGUGGAGCGGUGAAAUGCGUAGAGAUCGGGAGGAAUACCAGUGGCGAAGGCGGCCUUCUGGACUGACACUGACACUGAGGUGCGAAAGCGUGGGUAGCAAACAGGAUUAGAUACCCUUGUAGUC
RNAcentral lists this ribosomal RNA (465 nucleotides) under Vreelandella stevensii. Its description in RNAcentral is "partial 16S ribosomal RNA". It matches the Rfam family "Bacterial small subunit ribosomal RNA", at positions 338 to 795 of the family's 1533-position model. The record is from RNAcentral. Lineage: Bacteria; Pseudomonadati; Pseudomonadota; Gammaproteobacteria; Oceanospirillales; Halomonadaceae.